UGGGAAGCUCAGGCUCAUAUGUU
This 23-nucleotide microRNA is filed under the name Heligmosomoides polygyrus. RNAcentral's name for it is "hpo-miR-10034-5p". Lineage: Eukaryota; Metazoa; Nematoda; Chromadorea; Rhabditida; Heligmosomidae. The record is from miRBase by way of RNAcentral.